GAUGAACGCUGGCGGCGUGCCUAAUACAUGCGAGUCGAGCGAACAGACGAGGAGCUUGCUCCUCUGACGUUAGCGGCGGACGGGUGAGUAACACGUGGAUAACCUACCUAUAAGACUGGGAUAACUUCGGGAAACCGUAGCUAAUACCGGAUAAUAUAUUGAACCGCAUGGUUCAAUAGUGAAAGACGGUUUUGCUGUCACUUAUAGAUGGAUCCGCGCCGCAUUAGCUAGUUGGUAAGGUAACGGCUUACCAAGGCAACGAUGCGUAGCCGGCCUGAGAGGGGGGACGGCCCAAGUGGAACUGAGACACGGUCCAGACUGCUACGGGAGGCAGCAGUAGGGAAUCUGCCGCAAUGGGCGGAAGCUUGACGGAGCAAGGCCGCGUGAGGGAUGAAGGUCUUCGGGUCGUAAAACUCUGUUAUUAGGGAAGAAAAAAUGUGUAAGUAACUAGGCACGUCUUGACGGUACCUAAUCAGAAAGCCACGGCUAACUACGUG
RNAcentral lists this ribosomal RNA (497 nucleotides) under uncultured bacterium. RNAcentral describes it as "partial 16S ribosomal RNA". It matches the Rfam family "Bacterial small subunit ribosomal RNA", at positions 28 to 507 of the family's 1533-position model. The record is from RNAcentral.